This 2894-nucleotide ribosomal RNA is filed under the name Pseudomonas syringae. RNAcentral's name for it is "23S ribosomal RNA". It matches the Rfam family "Bacterial large subunit ribosomal RNA". Lineage: Bacteria; Pseudomonadati; Pseudomonadota; Gammaproteobacteria; Pseudomonadales; Pseudomonadaceae. RNAcentral also lists the same sequence under 2 other names. The record is from RNAcentral.
GGUCAAGUGAAGAAGCGCAUACGGUGGAUGCCUUGGCAGUCAGAGGCGAUGAAAGACGUGGUAGCCUGCGAAAAGCUUCGGGGAGUCGGCAAACAGACUGUGAUCCGGAGAUGUCUGAAUGGGGGAACCCAGCCAUCAUAAGAUGGUUAUCUUGUACUGAAUACAUAGGUGCAAGAGGCGAACCAGGGGAACUGAAACAUCUAAGUACCCUGAGGAAAAGAAAUCAACCGAGAUUCCCUUAGUAGUGGCGAGCGAACGGGGACCAGCCCUUAAGUUGUAUUGAGAUUAGCGGAACGUUCUGGAAAGGACGGCCAUAGUGGGUGAUAGCCCUGUACGCGAAAAUCCCUUUGCAAUGAAAUCGAGUAGGACGGGGCACGAGAAACCUUGUCUGAAUAUGGGGGGACCAUCCUCCAAGGCUAAAUACUACUGACUGACCGAUAGUGAACCAGUACCGUGAGGGAAAGGCGAAAAGAACCGCGGAGAGCGGAGUGAAAUAGAUCCUGAAACCGUAUGCGUACAAGCAGUGGGAGCCCACUUUGUUGGGUGACUGCGUACCUUUUGUAUAAUGGGUCAGCGACUUAUUUUCAGUGGCGAGCUUAACCGAAUAGGGGAGGCGUAGCGAAAGCGAGUCUUAAUAGGGCGUCUAGUCGCUGGGAAUAGACCCGAAACCGGGCGAUCUAUCCAUGGGCAGGUUGAAGGUUGGGUAACACUAACUGGAGGACCGAACCGACUACCGUUGAAAAGUUAGCGGAUGACCUGUGGAUCGGAGUGAAAGGCUAAUCAAGCUCGGAGAUAGCUGGUUCUCCUCGAAAGCUAUUUAGGUAGCGCCUCAUGUAUCACUGUAGGGGGUAGAGCACUGUUUCGGCUAGGGGGUCAUCCCGACUUACCAAACCGAUGCAAACUCCGAAUACCUACAAGUGCCGAGCAUGGGAGACACACGGCGGGUGCUAACGUCCGUCGUGAAAAGGGAAACAACCCAGACCGUCAGCUAAGGUCCCAAAGUCAUGGUUAAGUGGGAAACGAUGUGGGAAGGCUUAGACAGCUAGGAGGUUGGCUUAGAAGCAGCCACCCUUUAAAGAAAGCGUAAUAGCUCACUAGUCGAGUCGGCCUGCGCGGAAGAUGUAACGGGGCUCAAACCAUGCACCGAAGCUACGGGUAUCAUCUUUUGAUGAUGCGGUAGAGGAGCGUUCUGUAAGCCUGUGAAGGUGAGUUGAGAAGCUUGCUGGAGGUAUCAGAAGUGCGAAUGCUGACAUGAGUAACGACAAUGGGUGUGAAAAACACCCACGCCGAAAGACCAAGGUUUCCUGCGCAACGUUAAUCGACGCAGGGUUAGUCGGUCCCUAAGGCGAGGCUGAAAAGCGUAGUCGAUGGAAAACAGGUUAAUAUUCCUGUACUUCUGGUUAUUGCGAUGGAGGGACGGAGAAGGCUAGGCCAGCCUGGCGUUGGUAGUCCAGGUUUAAGGUGGUAGGCUGAGAUCUUAGGUAAAUCCGGGAUCUUAAGGCCGAGAGCUGAUGACGAGUGUUCUUUUAGAACAUGAAGUGGUUGAUGCCAUGCUUCCAAGAAAAGCUUCUAAGCUUCAGGUAACCAGGAACCGUACCCCAAACCGACACAGGUGGUUGGGUAGAGAAUACCAAGGCGCUUGAGAGAACUCGGGUGAAGGAACUAGGCAAAAUGGCACCGUAACUUCGGGAGAAGGUGCGCCGGUGGAGGUGAAGCAUUUACUGCGUAAGCCCCUGCCGGUCGAAGAUACCAGGCCGCUGCGACUGUUUAUUAAAAACACAGCACUCUGCAAACACGAAAGUGGACGUAUAGGGUGUGACGCCUGCCCGGUGCCGGAAGGUUAAUUGAUGGGGUUAGCGCAAGCGAAGCUCUUGAUCGAAGCCCCGGUAAACGGCGGCCGUAACUAUAACGGUCCUAAGGUAGCGAAAUUCCUUGUCGGGUAAGUUCCGACCUGCACGAAUGGCGUAACGAUGGCGGCGCUGUCUCCACCCGAGACUCAGUGAAAUUGAAAUCGCUGUGAAGAUGCAGUGUAUCCGCGGCUAGACGGAAAGACCCCGUGAACCUUUACUAUAGCUUUGCACUGGACUUUGAAUUUGCUUGUGUAGGAUAGGUGGGAGGCUUUGAAGCGUGGACGCCAGUCUGCGUGGAGCCAACCUUGAAAUACCACCCUGGCAACUUUGAGGUUCUAACUCAGGUCCGUUAUCCGGAUCGAGGACAGUGUAUGGUGGGUAGUUUGACUGGGGCGGUCUCCUCCUAAAGAGUAACGGAGGAGUACGAAGGUGCGCUCAGACCGGUCGGAAAUCGGUCGUAGAGUAUAAAGGCAAAAGCGCGCUUGACUGCGAGACAGACACGUCGAGCAGGUACGAAAGUAGGUCUUAGUGAUCCGGUGGUUCUGUAUGGAAGGGCCAUCGCUCAACGGAUAAAAGGUACUCCGGGGAUAACAGGCUGAUACCGCCCAAGAGUUCAUAUCGACGGCGGUGUUUGGCACCUCGAUGUCGGCUCAUCACAUCCUGGGGCUGAAGCCGGUCCCAAGGGUAUGGCUGUUCGCCAUUUAAAGUGGUACGCGAGCUGGGUUUAGAACGUCGUGAGACAGUUCGGUCCCUAUCUGCCGUGGACGUUUGAGAUUUGAGAGGGGCUGCUCCUAGUACGAGAGGACCGGAGUGGACGAACCUCUGGUGUUCCGGUUGUCACGCCAGUGGCAUUGCCGGGUAGCUAUGUUCGGAAAAGAUAACCGCUGAAAGCAUCUAAGCGGGAAACUUGCCUCAAGAUGAGAUCUCACUGGAACCUUGAGUUCCCUAAAGGGCCGUCGAAGACUACGACGUUGAUAGGUUGGGUGUGUAAGCGCUGUGAGGCGUUGAGCUAACCAAUACUAAUUGCCCGUGAGGCUUGACCAU